This 515-nucleotide ribosomal RNA is filed under the name uncultured bacterium. Its description in RNAcentral is "bacterial SSU rRNA". It matches the Rfam family "Bacterial small subunit ribosomal RNA", at positions 8 to 518 of the family's 1533-position model. The record is from RNAcentral.
AGAGUUUGAUCCUGGCUUAGGAUGAACGCUAGCGGCAGGCCUAAUACGUGCAAGGUCGUACGGGAAGGAGCCUUUCGGGGCUUCUGAGAGUGGCGCACGGGUGCGCAACGCGUAUGCAACAACCCCCGACAGGCGGAUAGCCGGUGGAAACGCCGGAUAAUACGCCCUGGUUCCCCCAGGGUGGCAUCACAAUGGGGAUAAAGCCGAGAGGCGGCCGGGGACGGGCAUGCGUCCCAUUAGGUAGUCGGCGGGUAACGGCCCACCGAGCCUACGAUCAGUAGGGGUUCUGAGAGGAAGGUCCCCCACAUUGGUACUGAGACACGGACCAAACUCCUACGGGAGGCAGCAGUGAGGAAUAUUGGUCAAUGGGCGAGAGCCUGAACCAGCCAAGUAAGCGUGCAGGAUGACGGCCCUAUGGGUUGUAAACUGCUUUUAUCGGGGAUAAAGUGAGGGACGCGUCCCUUUUUGUAGGUACCCGAUGAAUAAGGACCGGCUAAUUCCGUGCCAGCAGCUGC